AGCUCCAAUAGCGUAUACUAAAGUUGUUGCAGUUAAAAAGCUCGUAGUUGGAUUUCUGGUCGUGGGUCUCAGUCCUCUCCUCGCGGAGUGCGUACUGCGAUCUGCAGCCAUCCUCGGAGUAAACACAUCUCGCAUUAAGUUGUGUGGGUGUGGGAACUUCGUCAUUUACUGUGAGCAAAAUAGAGUGUUCAAAGCAGGCUUAGGCCGUUGAAUACAUUAGCAUGGAAUAAUAAGAUAGGACCUUGGUCUAUUUUGUUGGUUUGUAUUCCAAGGUAAUGAUUAAUAGGGAUAGUUGGGGGUAUUCGUAUUCAAUUGUCAGAGGUGAAAUUCUUGGAUUUAUGGAAGACGAACUACUGCGAAAGCAUUUACCAAGGAUGUUUUCAUUAAUCAAGAACGAAAG
This 400-nucleotide ribosomal RNA is filed under the name phytoplankton environmental sample. RNAcentral's name for it is "partial small subunit ribosomal RNA". It matches the Rfam family "Eukaryotic small subunit ribosomal RNA", at positions 587 to 989 of the family's 1831-position model. The record is from RNAcentral.